AGAGUUUGAUCAUGGCUCAGAGUGAACGCUGGCGGCGUGCUUAACACAUGCAAGUCGAGGGGCAGCAGCAGAGAACUUUGGUUCUCUGGCUGGCGACCGGCGGACGGGUGAGUAACACGUAGCUACUUGCCCCACAGAGGGGGAUAACCCGGGGAAACCCGGGCUAAUACCGCAUAUACCCGAGAGGGGAAAGCCGCAAGGCGCUGUGGGAUAGGGCUGCGGCGUAUCAGGUAGUUGGUGGGGUAACGGCCUACCAAGCCGAUGACGCAUAGCUGGUCUGAGAGGAUGAUCAGCCACACUGGAACUGAGACACGGUCCAGACUCCUACGGGAGGCAGCAGUGGGGAAUAUUGGGCAAUGGGCGGAAGCCUGACCCAGCAACGCCGCGUGGAGGAAGACGCCCUUCGGGGUGUAAACUCCUUUUGCAGGGGAAGAGAGAGACGGUACCCUGCGAAUAAGCUCCGGCUAACUCCGUGCCAGCAGCCGCGGUAAUACGGGGGGAGCGAGCGUUACUCGGAAUCACUGGGCGUAAAGGGUGCGUAGGCGGCUUAGUAAGUUGGGAGUGAAAGCCUACGGCUUAACCGUAGAACUGCUUCCAAAACUGCUAAGCUAGAGUCCGGGAGAGGCUGCGGGAAUUCCUGGUGUA
RNAcentral lists this ribosomal RNA (645 nucleotides) under bacterium enrichment culture clone BIG B-Brut-26. Its description in RNAcentral is "bacterial SSU rRNA". It matches the Rfam family "Bacterial small subunit ribosomal RNA", at positions 8 to 677 of the family's 1533-position model. The record is from RNAcentral.